AACGUAGGACGCAAGCGUUAUCCGGAUUUACUGGGCGUAAAGGGCGGGCAGGUGGCAGGCCAAGUUGGAUGUGAAAGCUCCCGGCUCAACUGGGAGAGGCCAUUCAAGACUGGUCAGCUGGAGGGCAGCAGGGGGGCGUGGAAUUCCGGGUGGAGUGGUGAAAUGCGUAGAGAUCCGGAGGAACACCAGAAGCGAAGGCGGCGCCCUGGGCUGCAUCUGACACUGAACCGCGAAGGCGUGGGUAGCGAACGGG
This 253-nucleotide ribosomal RNA is filed under the name uncultured bacterium. Its description in RNAcentral is "partial 16S ribosomal RNA". It matches the Rfam family "Bacterial small subunit ribosomal RNA", at positions 524 to 776 of the family's 1533-position model. The record is from RNAcentral.